UCCUGGCCCUAAACAAUGUCCACUAGGUUGGUGGUUCUCUGACGGAUCACCGGCCGAAACAAAAGCGUUAAGUGGACCGCCUGGGGAGUACGGUCGCAAGGCUAAAACUCAAAGGAAUUGACGGGGGCUCACACAAGCGGUGGAGCAUGUUGCUCAAUUCGAUGCAACGCGAAGAACCUUAUCCUGGGCUUGACAUGUACGAAUGCCUAUCCUGAAAGGGAGUCGGCUGCCCUUCGGGGUGAAGCGUACACAGGUGCUGCAUGGCUGUCGUCAGCUCGUGUCGUGAGAUGUCGGGUU
This 297-nucleotide ribosomal RNA is filed under the name uncultured bacterium. RNAcentral's name for it is "partial 16S ribosomal RNA". It matches the Rfam family "Bacterial small subunit ribosomal RNA", at positions 794 to 1081 of the family's 1533-position model. The record is from RNAcentral.